UCAGAUUGAACGCUGGCGGCAUGCUUUACACAUGCAAGUCGAACGGCAGCACGAAAGAGCUUGCUCUUUUGGUGGCGAGUGGCGAACGGGUGAGUAAUACAUUGGAACGUACCGAGUAAUGGGGGAUAACUGUCCGAAAGGAUGGCUAAUACCGCAUACGCUCUGAGGAGGAAAGCGGGGGACCUUCGGGCCUCGCGUUAUUCGAGCGGCCAAUGUCUGAUUAGCUAGUUGGUGGGGUAAAGGCCUACCAAGGCGACGAUCAGUAGUGGGUCUGAGAGGAUGAUCCGCCACACUGGGACUGAGACACGGCCCAGACUCCUACGGGAGGCAGCAGUGGGGAAUUUUGGACAAUGGGCGAAAGCCUGAUCCAGCCAUGCCGCGUGUCUGAAGAAGGCCUUCGGGUUGUAAAGGACUUUUGUCAGGGAAGAAAGGG
This 433-nucleotide ribosomal RNA is filed under the name uncultured Neisseria sp. RNAcentral describes it as "bacterial SSU rRNA". It matches the Rfam family "Bacterial small subunit ribosomal RNA", at positions 24 to 453 of the family's 1533-position model. Lineage: Bacteria; Pseudomonadati; Pseudomonadota; Betaproteobacteria; Neisseriales; Neisseriaceae. The record is from RNAcentral.